RNAcentral lists this small RNA (287 nucleotides) under uncultured Roseburia sp. RNAcentral describes it as "5' ureB small RNA". The record is from RNAcentral. Lineage: Bacteria; Bacillati; Bacillota; Clostridia; Lachnospirales; Lachnospiraceae.
UGAUGCGGUGACUCGAAAUGCACAUGCACAUCAAUGCCCCCUGCCGUCGCGAUCCAGCCCGGAUCUCCGGUUAUGAUCUCUGUCUCCGGACAGAUGACAAGUCCCGGUGUAAUGUCCAUGGUAUCUGGAUUUCCCGCUUUUCCGACUCCGACGAUCUUUCCGUCCUUGAUGCCCAUAUCUCCUUUUAUCACUCCAAGCACCGGAUCUAAAAAGAUCAUGUUGGUAAUGACGAGAUCCAACCCGCCUUCCUGCGCCGUAAUACCUGGUUUUUGUCCCAUUCCAUCCCG